Molecule: ribosomal RNA, 506 nt
Filed under: uncultured Glomeromycotina
Lineage: Eukaryota; Fungi; Glomeromycota
Description: SSU rRNA
Rfam family: Eukaryotic small subunit ribosomal RNA
Source: RNAcentral
AGCAGCCGCGGUAAUUCCAGCUCCAAUAGCGUAUAUUAAAGUUGUUGCAGUUAAAAAGCUCGUAGUUGAAUUUCGGGAUCGAAUUGUUGGUCGUGCUUCGGUACGCACUGGCAUUAUCGGUUUCUACCUUCUGAAGAACCGCGAUGUCAUUAAUUUGGUGUCGUGGGGAAUCAGGACUGUUACUUUGAAAAAGUUAGAGUGUUUAAAGCAGGCUUACGCUUGAAUACAUUAGCAUGGAAUAAUGAAAUAGGACGUUUGAUUCUAUUUUGUUGGUUUCUAGGAUCGACGUAAUGAUUAAUAGGGAUAGUUGGGGGCAUUAGUAUUCAAUUGUCAGAGGUGAAAUUCUUGGAUUUAUUGAAGACUAACUACUGCGAAAGCAUUUGCCAAGGAUGUUUUCAUUAAUCAAGAACGAAAGUUAGGGGAUCGAAGACGAUCAGAUACCGUCGUAGUCUUAACCAUAAACUAUGCCGACUAGGGAUCGGAUGAUGUUAAUUUUAUAAUGACUC